UACGGAGGGGGCUAGCGGUGUUCGGAAUUACUGGGCGUAAAGCGCACGUAGGCGGCUUUGUAAGUCAGAGGUGAAAGCCCGGAGCUCAACUCCGGAAUAGCCUUUGAGACUGCAUCGCUUGAAUCCAGGAGAGGUGAGUGGAAUUCCGAGUGUAGAGGUGAAAUUCGUAGAUAUUCGGAAGAACACCAGUGGCGAAGGCGGCUCACUGGACUGGUAUUGACGCUGAGGUGCGAAAGCGUGGGGAGCAAACAGG
This 253-nucleotide ribosomal RNA is filed under the name uncultured bacterium. RNAcentral describes it as "partial 16S ribosomal RNA". It matches the Rfam family "Bacterial small subunit ribosomal RNA", at positions 524 to 776 of the family's 1533-position model. The record is from RNAcentral.